AUUGAACGCUGGCGGCAUGCUCUACACAUGCAAGUCGAACGGUAACAGGCCGCAAGGUGCUGACGAGUGGCGAACGGGUGAGUAAUGCAUCGGAACGUGCCCAGUCGUGGGGGAUAACUACUCGAAAGAGUAGCUAAUACCGCAUACGAUCUAUGGAUGAAAGCGGGGGACCGUAAGGCCUCGCGCGAUUGGAGCGGCCGAUGUCAGAUUAGGUAGUUGGUGGGGUAAAGGCUCACCAAGCCAACGAUCUGUAGCUGGUCUGAGAGGACGACCAGCCACACUGGGACUGAGACACGGCCCAGACUCCUACGGGAGGCAGCAGUGGGGAAUUUUGGACAAAGGGCGCAAGCCUGAUCCAGCAAUGCCGCGUGCAGGAAGAAGGCCUUCGGGUUGUAAACUGCUUUUGUACGGAACGAAACGGCUCUGGUUAAUACCCGGGGCUAAUGACGGUACCGUAAGAAUAAGCACCGGCUAACUACGUG
Molecule: ribosomal RNA, 482 nt
Filed under: uncultured bacterium
Lineage: Bacteria
Description: partial 16S ribosomal RNA
Rfam family: Bacterial small subunit ribosomal RNA
Source: RNAcentral